RNAcentral lists this ribosomal RNA (250 nucleotides) under uncultured bacterium. RNAcentral describes it as "partial 16S ribosomal RNA". It matches the Rfam family "Bacterial small subunit ribosomal RNA", at positions 524 to 773 of the family's 1533-position model. The record is from RNAcentral.
UACGUAGGUGGCAAGCGUUAUCCGGAAUUACUGGGCGUAAAGCGCACGCAGGCGGCUUUUUAAGUUUGACGUGAAAACUCCUAGCUUAACUGGGAGAGGACGUUGAAGACUGGGAGGCUUGAGGUAAUGAGAGGGGUGCGGAAUUCCCGGUGUAGUGGUGGAAUGCGUAGAGAUCGGGAGGAACACCAGUGGCGAAAGCGGCACCCUGGCAUUGACCUGACGCUCAGGUGCGAAAGCGUGGGGAGCGAAC